Molecule: ribosomal RNA, 432 nt
Filed under: uncultured bacterium
Lineage: Bacteria
Description: bacterial SSU rRNA
Rfam family: Bacterial small subunit ribosomal RNA
Source: RNAcentral
CCUACGGGGGGCUGCAGUGGGGAAUAUUGCACAAUGGGGGAAACCCUGAUGCAGCGACGCAGCGUGCGGGAUGACGGCCUUCGGGUUGUAAACCGCUUUCAGCAGGGAAGAAGCGAAAGUGACGGUACCUGCAGAAGAAGUACCGGCUAACUACGUGCCAGCAGCCGCGGUAAUACGUAGGGUACGAGCGUUGUCCGGAAUUAUUGGGCGUAAAGAGCUCGUAGGUGGUUGGUCACGUCUGCUGUGGAAACGCAACGCUUAACGUUGCGCGUGCAGUGGGUACGGGCUGACUAGAGUGCAGUAGGGGAGUCUGGAAUUCCUGGUGUAGCGGUGAAAUGCGCAGAUAUCAGGAGGAACACCGGUGGCGAAGGCGGGACUCUGGGCUGUAACUGACACUGAGGAGCGAAAGCAUGGGGAGCGAACAGGAUUAGA